This is a long non-coding RNA of Physella acuta, 532 nucleotides long. RefSeq lists it as uncharacterized. Lineage: Eukaryota; Metazoa; Mollusca; Gastropoda; Physidae. The record is from RefSeq and is a predicted model, not a curated record.
AGUAGUAGUAGAGUGUAGUGUAGAGUACUGUAGACUAUUGUAGAGUGUAGGUACUAAUAACUAGACUGAAACUAAAUUAGACUAGAAUCUAGGUCUAGAUACAUUUAGGGCUUACAGACUUAUCAGACUACAGUGUUGCAAUGAGUAGAUCUAGUAAUAUAUAGAUUAAAUUUAGUUUGAAAUUGUUACAGUAGUGCUACUACUUUUCUAAGUAGUAAGUAGUGUAGACUACUAGAAGAGCAAGAUGAUAGAUCUCCAUCAAGCUACAAUAGAGUUUAGUUAGUAGUUAGUUAGUCAUAGUAAUAGUACCAAAAGCAGUGUACUUGGCAAGCAAUUUUCUCACACUUUACUGUGGCUAUUGGUGCUGAUCUUGAACUAAAGGUAAAUGGAACAGCAUGGAUGUGGAUUUUUAGACACAAGGAAGCUGAAUUUAACUUUUAAUGAAGAAUUUAAAUGAUGAUUGUCCAUGAAAAGAAAUAUUAAUCAUAUACAUUGUAAUGCUGUAUUGAUGCAUCUUCUGUUUUAAGUAAUU